RNAcentral lists this transfer RNA (82 nucleotides) under Candidatus Wolfebacteria bacterium RBG_13_41_7. Its description in RNAcentral is "tRNA-Leu". It matches the Rfam family "tRNA". From Rfam's summary of the family: Transfer RNA (tRNA) molecules are approximately 80 nucleotides in length. Their secondary structure includes four short double-helical elements and three loops (D, anti-codon, and T loops). The record is from RNAcentral. Lineage: Bacteria; Candidatus Wolfeibacteriota.
GCCGAGGUGGUGAAAUUGGGAAACACAAUAGCUUUAGGAGCUAUCGCCGCAAGGCUUGCGGGUUCAACUCCCGCCCUCGGCA